RNAcentral lists this ribosomal RNA (614 nucleotides) under uncultured Burkholderia sp. Its description in RNAcentral is "bacterial SSU rRNA". It matches the Rfam family "Bacterial small subunit ribosomal RNA", at positions 159 to 768 of the family's 1533-position model. The record is from RNAcentral. Lineage: Bacteria; Pseudomonadati; Pseudomonadota; Betaproteobacteria; Burkholderiales; Burkholderiaceae.
CGGAUUAAUACCGCAUACGAUCUACGGAAGAAAGCGGGGGAUCGAAAGACCUCGCGCUAUAGGGGCGGCCGAUGGCAGAUUAGCUAGUUGGUGGGGUAAAGGCCUACCAAGGCGACGAUCUGUAGCUGGUCUGAGAGGACGACCAGCCACACUGGGACUGAGACACGGCCCAGACUCCUACGGGAGGCAGCAGUGGGGAAUUUUGGACAAUGGGGGAAACCCUGAUCCAGCAAUGCCGCGUGUGUGAAGAAGGCCUUCGGGUUGUAAAGCACUUUUGUCCGGAAAGAAAACUUCUGCCCUAAUACGGUGGGAGGAUGACGGUACCGGAAGAAUAAGCACCGGCUAACUACGUGCCAGCAGCCGCGGUAAUACGUAGGGUGCGAGCGUUAAUCGGAAUUACUGGGCGUAAGGCGUGCGCAGGCGGUUCGUUAAGACAGAUGUGAAAUCCCCGGGCUUAACCUGGGAACUGCAUUUGUGACUGGCGAGCUAGAGUAUGGCAGAGGGGGGUAGAAUUCCACGUGUAGCAGUGAAAUGCGUAGAGAUGUGGAGGAAUACCGAUGGCGAAGGCAGCCCCCUGGGCCAAUACUGACGCUCAUGCACGAAAGCGUGGGGAG